This 511-nucleotide ribosomal RNA is filed under the name uncultured bacterium. RNAcentral's name for it is "bacterial SSU rRNA". It matches the Rfam family "Bacterial small subunit ribosomal RNA", at positions 19 to 518 of the family's 1533-position model. The record is from RNAcentral.
CUGGCUCAGGAUGAACGCUAGCUACAGGCUUAACACAUGCAAGUCGAGGGGCAGCAUGUUGGUUGCUUGCAACCAAUGAUGGCGACCGGCGCACGGGUGAGUAACGCGUAUCCAACCUUCCCCUUAGUAGGGCAUAGCCCGUAGAAAUGCGGAUUAAUACCCUAUGUUGUAUAUUGAGGACAUCUGAUUUAUACCAAAGGUUCACCGCUAAGGGAUGGGGAUGCGUCUGAUUAGGUUGUUGGCGGGGUAACGGCCCACCAAGCCGACGAUCAGUAGGGGUUCUGAGAGGAAGGUCCCCCACAUUGGAACUGAGACGCGGUCCAAACUCCUACGGGAGGCAGCAGUGAGGAAUAUUGGUCAAUGGACGAGAGUCUGAACCAGCCAAGUAAGCGUGCAGGAUGACGGCCCUAUGGGUUGUAAACUGCUUUUAUACGGGGAUAAAGUGAGGGACGUGUCCCUUUUUGUAGGUACCGUAUGAAUAAGGACCGGCUAAUUCCGUGCCAGCAGCAGC